This 945-nucleotide ribosomal RNA is filed under the name Plectosphaerella sp. UM107. RNAcentral describes it as "eukaryotic LSU rRNA". The stretch from base 127 to 280 matches the Rfam family "5.8S ribosomal RNA". Lineage: Eukaryota; Fungi; Ascomycota; Sordariomycetes; Glomerellales; Plectosphaerellaceae. The record is from RNAcentral.
AUCUCUACCCUUUGUGACUAUUAUACCUGUUGCUUCGGCGGCGCCCGCGAGGGCGCCCGCCGGUCUCAUCAGAAUCUCUGUUUUCGAACCCGACGAUACUUCUGAGUGUUCUUAGCGAACUGUCAAAACUUUUAACAACGGAUCUCUUGGCUCCAGCAUCGAUGAAGAACGCAGCGAAACGCGAUAUGUAAUGUGAAUUGCAGAAUUCAGUGAAUCAUCGAAUCUUUGAACGCACAUGGCGCCUUCCAGUAUCCUGGGAGGCAUGCCUGUCCGAGCGUCGUUUCAACCCUCGAGCCCCUGUGGCCCGGCGUUGGGGAUCUGCCACGGCAGGCCCCUAAAACCAGUGGCGGACCCGUUGGGCCCUCUCCUUUGCGCAGUAGCAUCAGCCUCGCAUCGGGAGCCCUCGGCGUCCUGCCUCUAAACCCCCCACAAGCCCGCUCCGGCGGCACCAAGGUUGACCUCGGAUCAGGUAGGAAUACCCGCUGAACUUAAGCAUAUCAAUAGACGGGAGGAAAUUACUGACUACUACACUCUCUACCCUAUGUGAACUAUUAUACCUGUUGCUUCGGCGGCGCCCGCGAGGGCGCCCGCCGGUCUCAUCAGAAUCUCUGUUUUCGAACCCGACGAUACUUCUGAGUGUUCUUAGCGAACUGUCAAAACUUUUAACAACGGAUCUCUUGGCUCAGCAUCGAUGAAGAACGCAGCGAAACGCGAUAUGUAAUGUGAAUUGCAGAAUUCAGUGAAUCAUCGAAUCUUUGAACGCACAUGGCGCUUUCAGUAUCCUGGGAGGCAUGCCUGUCGAGCGUCGUUUCACCCUCGAGCCCUGUGGCCGGCGUUUGGGGAUCUGCACGGCAGGCCCUAAAACAAUGGCGGACCGUUGGGCCUCUCAAUGCGCAGUAGCAUCAGCUCGCAUCGGAGCCUCGGCAUCUGCCUCUUAACCCCCAA